This 26-nucleotide non-coding RNA is filed under the name Mus musculus (house mouse). Lineage: Eukaryota; Metazoa; Chordata; Mammalia; Rodentia; Muridae. The record is from RNAcentral.
UGAAAUGAUCAUAUAUGAUAGUGUUA